RNAcentral lists this ribosomal RNA (494 nucleotides) under uncultured bacterium. RNAcentral's name for it is "partial 16S ribosomal RNA". It matches the Rfam family "Bacterial small subunit ribosomal RNA", at positions 28 to 507 of the family's 1533-position model. The record is from RNAcentral.
GACGAACGCUGGCGGCGUGCUUAACACAUGCAAGUCGAACGGUGAAGCGCCUUCCUUUUUGGUGGGUGUGGAUGAGUGGCGAACGGGUGAGUAACACGUGAGUAACCUGCCCCCUUCUUCUGGAUAACCGCAUGAAAGUGUGGCUAAUACGGGAUAUUCUGGGUCUGUCGCAUGAUGGGUCUGGGAAAGAUAUUGUUUCGGUGGGGGAUGGGCUCGCGGCCUAUCAGCUUGUUGGUGGGGUGAUGGCCUACCAAGGCGGUGACGGGUAGCCGGCCUGGGAGGGUGGACGGUCACACUGGGACUGAGACACGGCCCAGACUCCUACGGGAGGCAGCAGUGGGGAAUAUUGCACAAUGGGCGCAAGCCUGAUGCAGCGACGCCGCGGGAGGGAUGGAGGCCUUCGGGUUGUGAACCUCUUUCGCCAGUGAAGCAGGCCUGCCUCGUUUGUGGGUGGGUUGACGGUAGCUGGAGAAGAAGCGCCGGCUAACUACGUG